This is a long non-coding RNA of Vicia villosa (hairy vetch), 1767 nucleotides long. RefSeq lists it as uncharacterized. The transcript has 2 exons. Lineage: Eukaryota; Viridiplantae; Streptophyta; Magnoliopsida; Fabales; Fabaceae. The record is from RefSeq and is a predicted model, not a curated record.
CAGACUCUCUCUUUCACUAAACUCUAAUCCCUAUUUUGUCUCCACGCACAGUACACACUUUUCCACAGUUUUUCUAACCUAUUCUCUCAUACUUUUCAUACACAAAGGAACUCUUAUUCCACAAGACUGACGAUUCACGUACAAAACACAUAUAUUCCUAACCUUUUUUUCCUUUUCUAAACAAAGAAACCAUUCAGUAUAUUUUUAUACUAGAAUCCUGCCAUCAACAACAGUUACAACACUAACCAUAAUCCUAGGAAUUCAAAAUCAAACAUGCUUCCAUUGUUUAUUCUUUAAUAUUAAUAUAGUAUUUGUUCUUUGGCAUUAAUAUUAUUUGUUUCCUGAAAGUUACAGCAGGAAGAGAUUAGAGCAGCAAUUUAGCGUAUCAAUUUUGCAGGGGAUUCGGACUCCAAAAAGCUCCAACAAAACUCAAAAAAUUAUGGAAACAAGACAGGGCCGGAUUGAAGGUGGCGGCCGGAUUUAGUCUUCUUCAAGGAUCAAACAAGCAAUAGGAGUGUUCUCUGAAGUCAUUGCCUCCGUUCUAGUUCAUCACCACAUCCAGAACCACAACAACCAUGGCCACGGUUUGCAAUUUCUUUUCGAGAUUAAUCAAAAAUCUUCCGACUAUGCGCCAUGCCUUUCACAAAGCUAAGUACUUUCUCUCUAUUCUAUUUUUAAUUUAUUAUUCUAUUUUCUUUUGUGGUUAAUGAAGUUUGCCCUCGAACUUGAUAAUGCACUCACUCUCUGCUUUUUGCCUCUUCUUUCUCCUUUUCAGGCUUUGUCAAUUGCCAAAGCUACGUUAUUGGUAACCCUAAACCCUAUUUUUAUUUGAUGCCUUUUAUUAUUAUUACUUGUGUCAAACCCUAUUAAGGGAUCCGCUGGUUACAAUUUCCCUCCCCCAUAUUACUGUUUCUUGCCUUAUAUUAUCUGCGUGGUUAGUAAAAUAGGGAGUGGCAACCAUGAAUUGAAUUUAGAAUCGCUAAUUUACAAGAUAAUAUAAUUGAAUAUAAUCACGUGAUUGGUGCACACACGCACGCUUUUGGGUAACCCUCUCUGUUGCCUUGUUGCCCGUUGCCUUGUUGCCUGUUGCCUUGUGUUUUUUUGCAGAAUAAGCCAAGUCCCUCGAAUACGAGGAUACCUCAGCCAUGUUGCCUCGAUCAAAAGGUCACGACCCUAAAUGAUGCUGCCUUCGAUACACAAAUGACCUCGACCCUCGGAAGUUGCCUACGGAAAAAGGCUGAGGUAUCUUCUGGCUGCCUACGAAAUGGCUUAUUCUGAUCCUUGCCUUAGACUACCUGCCCUUCUAUGGCAUGGGACAGUCUUAUGGCAAAGGAUGCUUCGAUGACACUUCAACCUCCAAACGAAAGGCUUCCUGCCCUCUUAUGGCAAGGAUAGACCCUUUCAUUCUGAAAGGCUAAAAAGAGACCUAUCAUCUGAGUUUAAGGUAAUUGCCCCUAAUUGCCUUGCAAUGCUCAAACCUUUUUAUUAUAUUCUUUCUCAUAAUUUUUCAAAAGGGCAACGCUUAUUCACAAGCUAAAGUCCCUAUCUCUUUCAUCUACAUUUUCUAAACAAACGAGCAAGCAAAGCAAUUAAGAGCCCAUGGAAAACCAUGGAUGCAAAGGGUGCCUUACACCUUCCCUUUGCAUAAAUUACCCCCCGAACUUAGAUCUUCUUUAAAAGGUUUUUUUCUGUUUCUUUUUGCCUUUCUGAUUUAGUUUGGAUAAAAUAAAAGUCGGUGGCGACUCUUGCUUAACCGCGACAUUUCGA